AACGCAGGUGGUUUGGUAAGUCAGGGGUGAAAGUCCACAGCUUAACUGUGGCACUGCCUUUGAUACUACCUUUCUUGAGUGCAUGAGGGGGAAGCGGAAUUCCGAGUGUAGAGGUGAAAUUCGUAGAUAUUCGGAGGAACACCGGUGGCGAAGGCGGCUUCCUGGCAUGUAACUGACACUCAUGUUCGAAAGCGUGGGGAGCAAACAGGAUUAGAUACCCUGGUAGUCCACGCCCUAACGAUGGGCACUAGGUGUGGGAGGUAUCGACCCCUUCCGUGCCGCAGCUAACGCAUUAAGUGCCCCGCCUGGGGAGUACGGCCGCAAGGUUGAA
This 331-nucleotide ribosomal RNA is filed under the name uncultured bacterium. RNAcentral's name for it is "bacterial SSU rRNA". It matches the Rfam family "Bacterial small subunit ribosomal RNA", at positions 568 to 898 of the family's 1533-position model. The record is from RNAcentral.